GCCAGCACGAUGUAGUGGUUUGAGUGCUGGACUACAACUCUGGAGACCAGGGUUCGAUUCCCCGCUCGGCCA
Phrynosoma platyrhinos (Desert horned lizard) is the source of this 72-nucleotide non-coding RNA. The record is from the annotation of a GenBank genome assembly. NCBI's taxonomy places the organism in Eukaryota, Metazoa, Chordata, Lepidosauria, Squamata, Phrynosomatidae.